Molecule: microRNA, 22 nt
Filed under: Callorhinchus milii (elephant shark)
Lineage: Eukaryota; Metazoa; Chordata; Chondrichthyes; Chimaeriformes; Callorhinchidae
Description: eshark_NOVEL_127
Source: RNAcentral
UUACUAGGGAAUUUUGAAACGC